CCAUUAUCGGGAGCAGUGUCUCCCAUAAUGU
Tetraodon nigroviridis (spotted green pufferfish) is the source of this 31-nucleotide non-coding RNA. The record is from Rfam. Lineage: Eukaryota; Metazoa; Chordata; Actinopteri; Tetraodontiformes; Tetraodontidae.